GGUACCUUUAAAAUUUUAAACUUACUAUUGUGUUUUAAUUAAUAUUGCAACCGGAAUCCCUGCAUUCCACAUACAUAUGGUACAUUCAACACCCAAUACAUUGUCCGUUUUUCCUGUGCUACUGCACAUUAUCUCUUGCAAUUCACCUGUACCGUUAUUGCAGGCAAACGACCAUUUUCACGGGCGGUCGGACUCCCGUUCAGCCGCGCAUGCGCGUCUCAUCAGAGACACCCGGCGGCCAUCUUGCAGUCUGAUUAUUGCACGCGGUUGGACUAAAUUCCGAUCGCGCCUUCAACCAUUACUGAUCUCUGACAUGCUCGUUAGUCAUGUAAUCACUACAGCCACCUUACUCAUAUUAGCUCUCCGAUUUUAACCGCGGCGGCCAUCUUUUUUGUGCCAGUCGUCGCGGCGGCGGCCGUUUUCUGCAAGGUCCUUC
Pelobates cultripes (western spadefoot toad) is the source of this 436-nucleotide non-coding RNA. The record is from the annotation of a GenBank genome assembly. Lineage: Eukaryota; Metazoa; Chordata; Amphibia; Anura; Pelobatidae.